Podarcis lilfordi (Lilford's wall lizard) is the source of this 77-nucleotide non-coding RNA. NCBI's taxonomy places the organism in Eukaryota, Metazoa, Chordata, Lepidosauria, Squamata, Lacertidae. The record is from the annotation of a GenBank genome assembly.
CCCUUAUCAAUAGCUCAGUUGGUUAAAACAUGGUGCUGAUAAUGCCAAGGUUGCAGGUUCAACCUCUGUAUAGGACA